RNAcentral lists this long non-coding RNA (412 nucleotides) under Ricinus communis (castor bean). RNAcentral's name for it is "long non-coding RNA (RCOM_LNC000918)". Lineage: Eukaryota; Viridiplantae; Streptophyta; Magnoliopsida; Malpighiales; Euphorbiaceae. The record is from RNAcentral.
CCAGAUCAUGGAGGAAAGAUUUCUGCUUCGGCGAGGUAUUAUCACCAGUUGCCGACGAGAGAAAUGGCAAGGAAGGGCUGGUUCAAGGGUUUUUGAUGGUGGGGAGUUAGAAUCUAGCAUCGGUUUGCCUAAAGGACGCCGGCAAGGCAAUGAUCUGAUGAUGACAGCAAGGACGACAGCUCCUCCUCUAAUUUCUUUCGAUUUUCCGAGGAGAAUGGUAGGAAAAGGGCGACGACGGCAGAAAGAAGGGAAGGGAAGGGAGGUUGGUGGUUAGGUGGAGGUAAAGGCGGUUGAAAUAGAGGUAAGGGGGAGGAAGAAAUGGUGCAACGAGGAAGAAGGAGAAGGAGGAGGGAGAAGGUGAGCACAUGGGCAUUUUUGCAAUUAUCUAAAGUUCCGAAAACAUAAGCUUAGG